This 348-nucleotide ribosomal RNA is filed under the name Triticum aestivum (bread wheat). RNAcentral's name for it is "partial small subunit ribosomal RNA". Lineage: Eukaryota; Viridiplantae; Streptophyta; Magnoliopsida; Poales; Poaceae. The record is from RNAcentral.
AUGCAGAAACUGUUGAGAGAGGGCAUGAAUGGUAUAUUUAGUCGUGCUUUUAUUCCCUUUUGCUCUUUCCGAAGGGACUACUCUACUCUUGUGUUAGCCAUUAGUAUAUAUUUUUUCAGAACCAAAUCCAUUUAUUUAAUGAGGAGAGGUGCAUCAGACAAAUUAAAAUGUAUUGAGCUAUUGUUCAUGACAAUUGGGCAAGUUAUUUUACUGGGGCUAAUAAACACAUACCAAAAUUUGCAGACUACUUUGCUUUUCUGGUUAUUUUGCUAUGAGAUUGUUAAUGAUAAAUCAGAUGUUUUCAAUUCUUUCGUAUGCUUAACAAUAAUAUUUUACGUUGGCUAUUAA